GACGUAGGGCGCGAGCGUUGUCCGGAUUUAUUGGGCGUAAAGAGCUCGUAGGCGGCUUGUUGCGUCGACUGUGAAAACCUGCGGCUCAACCGUGUGGUCUGCAGUCGAUACGGGCAGGCUGGAGUUCGGUAGGGGAGACUGGAAUUCCUGGUGUAGCGGUGAAAUGCGUAGAUAUCUGGAGGAACACCGGUGGCGAAGGCGACAUCCUGGACCGGUAUUGACGCUGAGGCGCGAAAGCCAGGGGAGCAAACGGG
This 254-nucleotide ribosomal RNA is filed under the name uncultured bacterium. Its description in RNAcentral is "partial 16S ribosomal RNA". It matches the Rfam family "Bacterial small subunit ribosomal RNA", at positions 524 to 776 of the family's 1533-position model. The record is from RNAcentral.